AUACGGAGGGUGCAAGCGUUAUUCGGAAUCACUGGGCGUAAAGGACGCGUAGGCGGGUUGGCAAGUCAGAUGUGAAAUCCUACAGCUUAACUGUAGAACUGCAUUUGAAACUGCUAACCUAGAGUAUGGGAGGGGGAGAUGGAAUUAGUGGUGUAGGGGUAAAAUCCGUAGAUAACACUAGGAAUACCGAAAGCGAAGGCGAUCUCCUGGAACAUAACUGACGCUAAGGCGUGAAAGCGUGGGGAGCAAACAGGAUUAGAAACCCUUGUAGUCC
Molecule: ribosomal RNA, 274 nt
Filed under: uncultured bacterium
Lineage: Bacteria
Description: partial 16S ribosomal RNA
Rfam family: Bacterial small subunit ribosomal RNA
Source: RNAcentral